This 301-nucleotide ribosomal RNA is filed under the name uncultured bacterium. RNAcentral's name for it is "partial 16S ribosomal RNA". It matches the Rfam family "Bacterial small subunit ribosomal RNA", at positions 509 to 807 of the family's 1533-position model. The record is from RNAcentral.
CAGUAGCCGCGGUAAUGCGUAGGUGGCAAGCGUUGUCCGGAAUUAUUGGGCGUAAAGGGCUCGCAGGCGGUUUCUUAAGUCUGAUGUGAAGGCCCCCGGCUCAACCGGGGAGGGUCAUUGGAAACUGGGAAACUUGAGUGCAGAAGAGGAGAGUGGAAUUCCACGUGUAGCGGUGAAAUGCGUAGAGAUGUGGAGGAACACCAGUGGCGAAGGCGACUCUCUGGUCUGUAACUGACGCUGAGGAGCGAAAGCGUGGGGAGCGAACAGGAUUAGAUACCCCUGUAGUCCCUGUCUCUUAUAC